AUCCUGGCUUAGGAUGAACGCUAGCGACAGGCCUAACACAUGCAAGUCGAGGGGCAGCGCGGAAGUAGCUUGCUAUUCUGGCGGCGACCGGCGCACGGGUGCGUAACAGGUGUGCAAUCUGUCCAUAGUCGGGGAAUAGCCCAGCGAAAGUUGGAUUAAUGCUCCAUGUGAAGAGAAGCCGCAUGACUUUUCUUUGAAACGUAAGGACUAUGGGUGAGCACGCUUCUGAUUAGAUAGUUGGUGAGGUAACGGCUCACCAAGUCGACGAUCAGUAGGGGUUCUGAGAGGAAGGUCCCCCACAUUGGAACUGAGACACGGUCCAAACUCCUACGGGAGGCAGCAGUGAGGAAUAUUGGUCAAUGGGCGAGAGCCUGAACCAGCCAAGUCGCGUGAAAGGAUGAAGGUUCUAUGGAUUGUAAACUUCUUUUGUCCGAGGGUAAAAAAGGUCACGUGUGACUUCUUGCAAGUAUCGGACGAAUAAGCAUCGGCUAACUCCGUGCCAGCAGCCGC
Molecule: ribosomal RNA, 510 nt
Filed under: uncultured bacterium
Lineage: Bacteria
Description: bacterial SSU rRNA
Rfam family: Bacterial small subunit ribosomal RNA
Source: RNAcentral